GACGAACGCUGGCGGCGUGCUUAACACACGCAAGUCGAACGGAAAGGCCCUGCUUUUGUGGGGUGCUCGAGUGGCGAACGGGUGAGUAACACGUGAGUAACCUGCCCUUGACUUUGGGAUAACUUCAGGAAACUGGGGCUAAUACCGGAUAGGAGCUCCUGCUGCAUGGUGGGGGUUGGAAAGUUUCGGCGGUUGGAGAUGGACUCGCGGCUUAUCAGCUUGUUGGUGGGGUAGUGGCUUACCAAGGCUUUGACGGGUAGCCGGCCUGAGAGGGUGACCGGCCACAUUGGGACUGAGAUACGGCCCAGACUCCUACGGGAGGCAGCAGUGGGGAAUAUUGCACAAUGGGCGGAAGCCUGAUGCAGCAACGCCGCGUGCGGGAUGACGGCCUUCGGGUUGUAAACCGCUUUCGCCUGUGACGAAGCGUGAGUGACGGUAAUGGGUAAAGAAGCACCGGCUAACUACGUG
Molecule: ribosomal RNA, 468 nt
Filed under: uncultured bacterium
Lineage: Bacteria
Description: partial 16S ribosomal RNA
Rfam family: Bacterial small subunit ribosomal RNA
Source: RNAcentral